Molecule: ribosomal RNA, 253 nt
Filed under: uncultured bacterium
Lineage: Bacteria
Description: partial 16S ribosomal RNA
Rfam family: Bacterial small subunit ribosomal RNA
Source: RNAcentral
UACGUAGGGUGCGAGCGUUGCCCGGAGUUAUUGGGCGUAAAGGGCGCGUAGGCGGCUCGGCACGUCCGUUGUGAAAUCGCCCGGCUCAACUGGGCGGGGUCGGCGGAUACGGCCGAGCUGGAGCAAGCUAGGGGGUAAUGGAAUUCCCGGUGUAGUGGUGGAAUGCGUAGAUAUCGGGAGGAACACCAAUGGCGAAAGCAGCUCUCUGGGACGGUACUGACGCUGAGACGCGAAAGCGUGGGGAGCGAACAGG